CAGUCGCCGCGGUAAUACGAAGGGGGCUAGCGUUGCUCGGAAUGACUGGGCGUAAAGGGCGCGUAGGCGGAUGGCACAGUCAGAUGUGAAAUUCCCGGGCUUAACCUGGGGGCUGCAUUUGAUACGUGUUGUCUAGAGUGAGGAAGAGGGUCGUGGAAUUCCCAGUGUAGAGGUGAAAUUCGUAGAUAUUGGGAAGAACACCGGUGGCGAAGGCGGCGACCUGGUCCUUUACUGACGCUGAGGCGCGAAAGCGUGGGGAGCAAACAGGAUUAGAUACCCCAGUAGUCCCUGUCUCUUAUAC
Molecule: ribosomal RNA, 301 nt
Filed under: uncultured bacterium
Lineage: Bacteria
Description: partial 16S ribosomal RNA
Rfam family: Bacterial small subunit ribosomal RNA
Source: RNAcentral